RNAcentral lists this long non-coding RNA (1115 nucleotides) under Musa acuminata (dwarf banana). Its description in RNAcentral is "long non-coding RNA (MACU_LNC004935)". Lineage: Eukaryota; Viridiplantae; Streptophyta; Magnoliopsida; Zingiberales; Musaceae. The record is from RNAcentral.
UGAUUUUGAUUUUUUUUUUUGUAGGCAUCAAGUGCCAGGCAAAUCAGGUGUGGGUGAUGAUUUAGGUGUACACUGUCUUGCAGUAAGCAUCACGUCUUGAACUUGAGUGAUUUUAUUUGUUCUUUGUUUUCUUCUUUUUUACAACUAUAUUGUAUGGCUUUCUCUUUCAUGAGAAAUUGGGUAACAACAAAUUAAUGGGACUUUUCAGAGUUUGAUGUAAAUGGAUCUUGAAAUUUUUUACUAUGUUCCAUAUGAUAAUAUUAAUUACUCAUUUGGUUGCAUUCACUUGUUCACAAACAUUGGUUUAGCAACAGUUCAUUCUAUAACAUGACUAGCACUAAUUUUGAGGUCAUUUUAUGUUCCACUCAUCGUCAUAUAGUGGUGUAAUGCUGGAAUACUACCUGAAGGGUUCUAAAUUCUAACAAAAUGAUGUACACAUAUCUGUUGUCUUAAAUGCGAAGAAAAUAUGUGUUUGUCAAUUUGUUGUAAUAUCAUUCUAUUUUCUAAUUAUCUAUUUUCUAAUUUGUUGUAAUAUGGGACUUUUCAGAGUUUGAUGUAAAUGGAUCUUGAAAUUUUUGACUAUGUUCCAUAUGAUAAUAUUAAUUACUCAUUUGGUUGCAUUCACUUGUUCACAAACAUUUGUUUAGCAACAGUUCAUUCUAUAACAUGACUAGCACUAAUUUUGAGGUCAUUUUAUGUUCCACUCAUCGUCAUAUAGUGGCGUAAUGCUGGAAUACUACCUGAAGGGUUCUAAAUUCUAACAAAAGGAUGUACUUAUAUCUGUUGUCUUAAAUGCGAAGAAAAUAUGUGUUUGUCAUUUGUUGUAAUAUCAUUCUAUUUUCUAAUUAUCUAAGCACAUUUAUAGGUGGUGAUGUUACAACUUCUACAAGGUCUUUCAUGUUUUCCGUUUCCUAAUUUGCUGGUAGUAAAUUGUUUUGUUAUUAUAAGCUUUUGUACCAUUUGUAAGAAUUAUUUACCAACUUAUUCAAUUAGUGCUACUCAAAGUUAUCCUUAUCUUAAAUUGUAAUAUUUGUUUAUUUUGUGAUAAAAGAAGCGACACUAUGCACAUAACAAUAGCAAUAAAACUAAUUGGACUGUAUAGUCUCAUGAUUAUG